RNAcentral lists this ribosomal RNA (2131 nucleotides) under Escherichia coli. RNAcentral describes it as "partial 23S ribosomal RNA". It matches the Rfam family "Bacterial large subunit ribosomal RNA", at positions 1 to 2157 of the family's 2925-position model. The record is from RNAcentral. Lineage: Bacteria; Pseudomonadati; Pseudomonadota; Gammaproteobacteria; Enterobacterales; Enterobacteriaceae.
GGUUAAGCGACUAAGCGUACACGGUGGAUGCCCUGGCAGUCAGAGGCGAUGAAGGACGUGCUAAUCUGCGAUAAGCGUCGGUAAGGUGAUAUGAACCGUUAUAACCGGCGAUUUCCGAAUGGGGAAACCCAGUGUGUUUCGACACACUAUCAUUAACUGAAUCCAUAGGUUAAUGAGGCGAACCGGGGGAACUGAAACAUCUAAGUACCCCGAGGAAAAGAAAUCAACCGAGAUUCCCCCAGUAGCGGCGAGCGAACGGGGAGCAGCCCAGAGCCUGAAUCAGUAUGUGUGUUAGUGGAAGCGUCUGGAAAGGCGCGCGAUACAGGGUGACAGCCCCGUACACAAAAAUGCACAUGCUGUGAGCUCGAUGAGUAGGGCGGGACACGUGGUAUCCUGUCUGAAUAUGGGGGGACCAUCCUCCAAGGCUAAAUACUCCUGACUGACCGAUAGUGAACCAGUACCGUGAGGGAAAGGCGAAAAGAACCCCGGCGAGGGGAGUGAAAAAGAACCUGAAACCGUGUACGUACAAGCAGUGGGAGCACGCUUAGGCGUGUGACUGCGUACCUUUUGUAUAAUGGGUCAGCGACUUAUAUUCUGUAGCAAGGUUAACCGAAUAGGGGAGCCGAAGGGAAACCGAGUCUUAACUGGGCGUUAAGUUGCAGGGUAUAGACCCGAAACCCGGUGAUCUAGCCAUGGGCAGGUUGAAGGUUGGGUAACACUAACUGGAGGACCGAACCGACUAAUGUUGAAAAAUUAGCGGAUGACUUGUGGCUGGGGGUGAAAGGCCAAUCAAACCGGGAGAUAGCUGGUUCUCCCCGAAAGCUAUUUAGGUAGCGCCUCGUGAAUUCAUCUCCGGGGGUAGAGCACUGUUUCGGCAAGGGGGUCAUCCCGACUUACCAACCCGAUGCAAACUGCGAAUACCGGAGAAUGUUAUCACGGGAGACACACGGCGGGUGCUAACGUCCGUCGUGAAGAGGGAAACAACCCAGACCGCCAGCUAAGGUCCCAAAGUCAUGGUUAAGUGGGAAACGAUGUGGGAAGGCCCAGACAGCCAGGAUGUUGGCUUAGAAGCAGCCAUCAUUUAAAGAAAGCGUAAUAGCUCACUGGUCGAGUCGGCCUGCGCGGAAGAUGUAACGGGGCUAAACCAUGCACCGAAGCUGCGGCAGCGACGCUGAUGCGUUGUUGGGUAGGGGAGCGUUCUGUAAGCCUGCGAAGGUGUGCUGUGAGGCAUGCUGGAGGUAUCAGAAGUGCGAAUGCUGACAUAAGUAACGAUAAAGCGGGUGAAAAGCCCGCUCGCCGGAAGACCAAGGGUUCCUGUCCAACGUUAAUCGGGGCAGGGUGAGUCGACCCCUAAGGCGAGGCCGAAAGGCGUAGUCGAUGGGAAACAGGUUAAUAUUCCUGUACUUGGUGUUACUGCGAAGGGGGGACGGAGAAGGCUAUGUUGGCCGGGCGACGGUUGUCCCGGUUUAAGCGUGUAGGCUGGUUUUCCAGGCAAAUCCGGAAAAUCAAGGCUGAGGCGUGAUGACGAGGCACUGCGGUGCUGAAGCAACAAAUGCCCUGCUUCCAGGAAAAGCCUCUAAGCAUCAGGUAACAUCAAAUCGUACCCCAAACCGACACAGGUGGUCAGGUAGAGAAUACCAAGGCGCUUGAGAGAACUCGGGUGAAGGAACUAGGCAAAAUGGUGCCGUAACUUCGGGAGAAGGCACGCUGAUAUGUAGGUGAAGUCCCUCGCGGAUGGAGCUGAAAUCAGUCGAAGAUACCAGCUGGCUGCAACUGUUUAUUAAAAACACAGCACUGUGCAAACACGAAAGUGGACGUAUACGGUGUGACGCCUGCCCGGUGCCGGAAGGUUAAUUGAUGGGGUUAGCGCAAGCGAAGCUCUUGAUCGAAGCCCCGGUAAACGGCGGCCGUAACUAUAACGGUCCUAAGGUAGCGAAAUUCCUUGUCGGGUAAGUUCCGACCUGCACGAAUGGCGUAAUGAUGGCCAGGCUGUCUCCACCCGAGACUCAGUGAAAUUGAACUCGCUGUGAAGAUGCAGUGUACCCGCGGCAAGACGGAAAGACCCCGUGAACCUUUACUAUAGCUUGACACUGAACAUUGAGCCUUGAUGUGUAGGAUAGGUGGGAGGCUU